UACAGAGGGUGCAAGCGUUGUUCGGAAUUAUUGGGCGUAAAGCGCGUGUAGGCGGCUUUGCAAGUCGGGUGUGAAAGCCCUCAGCUCAACUGAGGAAGUGCGCCCGAAACUGCAGAGCUUGAGUGCCGGAGAGGGUGGCGGAAUUCCCCAAGUAGAGGUGAAAUUCGUAGAUAUCUGGAGGAACACCGGUGGCGAAGGCGGCAUCCUGGACCGAUAUUGACGCUGAGGCGCGAAAGCCAGGGGAGCAAACGGG
RNAcentral lists this ribosomal RNA (253 nucleotides) under uncultured bacterium. Its description in RNAcentral is "partial 16S ribosomal RNA". It matches the Rfam family "Bacterial small subunit ribosomal RNA", at positions 524 to 776 of the family's 1533-position model. The record is from RNAcentral.